AGAGUUUGAUCCUGGCUCAGGACGAACGCUGGCGGCGUGCCUAAUACAUGCAAGUCGAGCGAGCGGAACUAACAGAUUUACUUCGGUAAUGACGUUAGGAAAGCGAGCGGCGGAUGGGUGAGUAACACGUGGGGAACCUGCCCCAUAGUCUGGGAUACCACUUGGAAACAGGUGCUAAUACCGGAUAAGAAAGCAGAUCGCAUGAUCAGCUUUUAAAAGGCGGCGUAAGCUGUCGCUAUGGGAUGGCCCCGCGGUGCAUUAGCUAGUUGGUAAGGUAAAGGCUUACCAAGGCGAUGAUGCAUAGUCGAGUUGAGAGACUGAUCGGCCACAUUGGGACUGAGACACGGCCCAAACUCCUACGGGAGGCAGCAGUAGGGAAUCUUCCACAAUGGACGCAAGUCUGAUGGAGCAACGCCGCGUGAGUGAAGAAGGUUUUCGGAUCGUAAAGCUCUGUUGUUGGUGAAGAAGGAUAGAGGUAGUAACUGGCCUUUAUUUGACGGUAAUCAACCAGAAAGUCACGGCUAACUACGUGCCAGCAGCCGCGGUAAUACGUAGGUGGCAAGCGUUGUCCGGAUUUAUUGGGCGUAAAGGCGAGCGCAGGCGGAAGAAUAAGUCUGAUGUGAAAGCCCUCGGCUUAACC
RNAcentral lists this ribosomal RNA (640 nucleotides) under uncultured bacterium. Its description in RNAcentral is "bacterial SSU rRNA". It matches the Rfam family "Bacterial small subunit ribosomal RNA", at positions 8 to 614 of the family's 1533-position model. The record is from RNAcentral.